UUGGGCCCCGAGGCGGCGCCGCUGGGUCUUAGCGCUGGGUCUUAGCACGCCUCGCGAAGGCGGGUGCGACGCCCCACCCAGCGCAGGGCGGGAGGAAAGGCGGUGACGCUGGGCCCUGCGCGCUCGGCCAGGGCUGGGAAAUACCUCCUGGCCGCCUCCCUUCGGGCCAGGUGCCCCGUAGGUCCGUCAGCAGGCGCCCGGGCACGCGAGAGGCCGUGCAGACGCGGCUAGUGGCCACAAAAGCAAGGACUUAGACCCGGGAUGGCUGGAGGGUACCCUGUCGCUGCAGCCAGCGCGGAUCCUGGGACGCUACCCUCGCGGUGACCCAGCAGGCUCCCGAGCCCUGGGAGCGGAGAGACUCAUCUCUAGGAAGCACACACCCACUCGCGCGCGUCUCCGUAACCAGAGCCAGUGACUUAGCACAGCUGCCCGCUGACCGUCAUCGAGGUCGGCGCUUGGCAGACAUAUUGACUGACCACAGCUGGACUACACCUGGACUGGCAUCGGCACUCCACAAUUUGAUGAGGCUGUUCUCCACCCGUCAGUUAUGUGAGGUCAGUGAUAGGGUGCACGUUUGCAGAGCAGAGGAAUUACUGAUAGUAUCAGCUGACCUUGUGGACUCUGGCUGCUUGGGACUGCUGCAGUCAGAGGAGCCAGCAGCACAGAGGACAGCUACAAGCCCUCCCAAAGCCUCACCAACACCAUCUCUGACUCUGGAGCAAGUGCCUUGAGGCAAUAGCUCUCUGGUGUGAAAUUGUGGGUGAGCACAUGGGCAGAAUGACAAACUGAUCACAAAAGCCACACGCUUACCCUCUGUCCCUGAUGCUUAGCUUGUCGAGUGCAGCCUCUCAGAGGCAUGGCCAGUUUGAAGUGGCCCACAGUCUUGCCACUCAGACCCACCUGUGGGCAGUGAGCUGCUACUGAUCUGAGAUGCCACAAGACCCAUCUCCCUACUUGGGAUGACUGCCAGCACUUCCUUCUGACCCUCUUCAAUACUGAAGAAUGCCUGAGAAAUACUCUCAGAGAGUCAAAUUUAUGAGAAUGGUCUACAACAGGAGGGGCCAAAAAUCCCAUGCCUGGAUGGAAACUGGGAAAGAGGAAAUAUAUGAAUGUGUAUGUAUGCAAAAUAAAGUGCAUGAGUCUAAGGUCAUCUGGACUCAGCUGAGAAA
Chinchilla lanigera (long-tailed chinchilla) is the source of this 1169-nucleotide long non-coding RNA. RefSeq lists it as uncharacterized. Lineage: Eukaryota; Metazoa; Chordata; Mammalia; Rodentia; Chinchillidae. The transcript has 3 exons. The record is from RefSeq and is a predicted model, not a curated record.